UACUGAGACUGUUUCUAUUGCAUGUGACAAGAAUAUUGGCUAGAACUUUCCGUUAGUGUGCAUCCAACUUUAAAAUCUCUGUCAUUUCAUGGGUGAGGCCAGAUUCUCUUUGCCACCCAAUUCAACUGUGAAUUGACAAACUUUUUGAAGUGGCAAAUACUUUGUCUUUAUUGAACAUUUUGAUUGUCUUGCUUUUUCCUGCAUUGUUUUCACAAGCCCAGUAUUGAAGAACUUUGCUUGCACUUUGUUAAUUAAAACUGUGUUUGUCUUAUGCAUAGAUUAAUUAAACUACCCGAAACUUCUCUUUUAUUCUUUUUUUUUUUUUUUUGCUUUCUGCUUUUUUGAUAUUUCAUAUUUAGACAAGGAUGGCACCGAAAAACUUCUCCCCUUCAGCUCUGUUGUUUUGAUAGCAGCACAUUUAAUUGGAUUUCCCCUUUUAAUCUACAAUGGCAGCACCGAUUCAUUCUUUUUUGUUUACUUCACAAAAUACUUUUGAUUUCGUUGUGAACGUAAAAGACACCAUACCCCAAUUGUAUUACAAAAUAGCAAAGGCCGUAGCUAAUCAACCUCUUUUGUGCAGGUUUAAAACAGAACACCAGCUAAAGUGUUGAAGCUCCAGAGUUUAAACUCAAGGGUGAGGCAUAACUAAAGGUCGCCACAUGAAUCCAAUUGAAUCCGGUAUUUUGAUCCAUUUCAAUUCUAUCACUUAUCAAGAACAAUCCACAGAGGGAUAGACUGUCUGCUUUCCUUCGCACAAAGACAUCAAACUGUAUUUCUGCACUCUUCGAUCUUCAGCCAAACUGUUGGCUUCAAAGUUGGCUAAGAAGGGAAAUCCAAGCUCUUAGCAGCAAAGGCGGAAAACUUAUUCAGCUGAUUUCACUCUGAAACUCAAUUCUAAGUCACCUAUGAUGACCUGGAAAUCGAAGUAAGAGCCUGGCACAAGCAGAAAUUCCGGAAGAAAUUCAAAAAGUUUGCAAGGAAGUUCAAGCAAAGUUCAAUUGCCAGUCCUGUUUACCUGCUCUGAAAAUUGUAUUCUGUAUACGGGCAUCUGCUCUUUCAAUUUCAGUUUCAUAUCAACUAUAUUCACUUUCAA
Rosa chinensis is the source of this 1093-nucleotide long non-coding RNA. RefSeq lists it as uncharacterized. The transcript has 5 exons. NCBI's taxonomy places the organism in Eukaryota, Viridiplantae, Streptophyta, Magnoliopsida, Rosales, Rosaceae. The record is from RefSeq and is a predicted model, not a curated record.